CCUACGGGAGGCUCCUGUGGGGAAUAUUGGACAAUGGGCGAAAGCCUGAUCCAGCCAUGCCGCGUGUGUGAAGAAGGUCUUCGGAUUGUAAAGCACUUUAAGUUGGGAGGAAGGGCAGUAACCUAAUACGUUAUUGUUUUGACGUUACCGACAGAAUAAGCACCGGCUAACUCUGUGCCAGCAGCCGCGGUAAUACAGAGGGUGCAAGCGUUAAUCGGAAUUACUGGGCGUAAAGCGCGCGUAGGUGGUUUGUUAAGUUGGAUGUGAAAGCCCCGGGCUCAACCUGGGAACUGCAUCCAAAACUGGCAAGCUAGAGUAUGGUAGAGGGUGGUGGAAUUUCCUGUGUAGCGGUGAAAUGCGUAGAUAUAGGAAGGAACACCAGUGGCGAAGGCGACCACCUGGACUGAUACUGACACUGAGGUGCGAAAGCGUGGGGAGCAAACA
RNAcentral lists this ribosomal RNA (444 nucleotides) under uncultured prokaryote. Its description in RNAcentral is "bacterial SSU rRNA". It matches the Rfam family "Bacterial small subunit ribosomal RNA", at positions 338 to 774 of the family's 1533-position model. The record is from RNAcentral.